AGUUUACCAUUUCAUCGUCAUCACUCAUCAAAGUUUGAGAGAUGCAGCCCGAAGUCGACCAAGGGCAAUCGGUACAGCUCCGACUGUAACAUCUCUCUCUUUUCUAUGUGAAUGAAAGAAGAAUUCGAAGAUUGAAAAUGUUCAGCAGGAGAAGGUUUCUAUCGGCGCCGAUGGUGUUGGGAGCAGUCGUAAUUGGAGUUGUCUCUGGUAAGGCCAUAUUUGGACCACCACUUGAUGAGUACUGGACAAAGAAGCUACAGGAAGAGGCAGCAACCAAAGAAACAGACUCAGGUUCAGGUUAGCAUCAUUUCAGAUCGUCCUCAUAUUUUAUGAUCAUACAGAAAGAGAAGCAACAGGAAGAUCCCAUCAUAUUUCUGUAUGUAGUAACAUAUGUUUUAUUUACUUCAUUUUGAUUAUAUCUGUUGCACUUAAAUUAUAAGAGGAAGAUUUACACCUUUUUGUCCAUUCGGCUCACUUCAAAUAUUUCAAAUAUUUAGACUGGUUUGUUUGCUUAAA
This is a long non-coding RNA of Nelumbo nucifera (sacred lotus), 516 nucleotides long. RefSeq lists it as uncharacterized. The record is from RefSeq and is a predicted model, not a curated record. NCBI's taxonomy places the organism in Eukaryota, Viridiplantae, Streptophyta, Magnoliopsida, Proteales, Nelumbonaceae.